RNAcentral lists this ribosomal RNA (777 nucleotides) under uncultured Neocallimastigales. RNAcentral's name for it is "partial large subunit ribosomal RNA". It matches the Rfam family "Eukaryotic large subunit ribosomal RNA", at positions 26 to 646 of the family's 3401-position model. The record is from RNAcentral. Lineage: Eukaryota; Fungi; Neocallimastigomycota; Neocallimastigomycetes; Neocallimastigales.
CGUCUAUAUACGUAUAGCAUAUCAAUAAGCGGAGGAAAAGAAACUAACUAGGAUUCCCUUAGUAACGGCGAGUGAAGCGGGAAGAGCUCAAAUUUGAAUCUUCAAGGUUCUACCUUGACGAAUUGUAGUUUAAAGAAGUGUUUUCUGUUGGAGUUUUGGUAAAAGUUCUUUGGAAUAGGGACAUCAUAGAGGGUGAGAAUCCCGUAUUUGACCAUUAUUUCCAACUUUGUGAUACACUUUCAAAGAGUCGGAUUGUUUGGGAAUGCAGUCCAAAAUGGGUGGUAAAUUUCAUCUAAAGCUAAAUACUGGCGAGAGACCGAUAGCGAACAAGUACCGUGAGGGAAAGAUGAAAAGAACUUUGAAAAGAGAGUUAAACAGUACGUGAAAUUGUCAAAAGGGAAGCGUUUGACACCAUGUGUUGUUUUCUCGAAAAUCAAUUAAAAAUGGCCUGGAUUUUGUGUUGUAUUGACUUUAUCAGCUUUCUGCACUCUUUUUCCUGUCUUUUUUAAUGCACUUUUCGUUUAACAAGUCAACAUCAAUUUCUUUUGUUGUAAAAGGGUCAUUGGAAGGUGGCUUUCUUUUCGGAGAAAGUGUUUAUAGCCUUUGGCCUCUGCAAUCGGAGAGAUUGAGGUCUGCAGCGUAGAUCCUUCGGGGUUAGAUACAUUUGUGCUAAGUUAUAGCCUUUCAUAGACAACUUGUUGACUAUGAUCAGUCAUGUAGCUUACUCGCUUAUGCUAUUUUACCUACGCUUAGGAUGUUGACGAUCAGCUGAGCGCG